RNAcentral lists this transfer RNA (77 nucleotides) under Atlantibacter hermannii. RNAcentral's name for it is "tRNA-Arg". It matches the Rfam family "tRNA". Rfam says of the family: Transfer RNA (tRNA) molecules are approximately 80 nucleotides in length. Their secondary structure includes four short double-helical elements and three loops (D, anti-codon, and T loops). The record is from RNAcentral. Lineage: Bacteria; Pseudomonadati; Pseudomonadota; Gammaproteobacteria; Enterobacterales; Enterobacteriaceae. RNAcentral also lists the same sequence under 1 other name.
GCGCCCAUAGCUCAGUUGGAUAGAGCAACGGCCUUCUAAGCCGUGGGUCGCAGGUUCGAAUCCUGCUGGGCGCGCCA